RNAcentral lists this long non-coding RNA (5819 nucleotides) under Marmota monax (woodchuck). Lineage: Eukaryota; Metazoa; Chordata; Mammalia; Rodentia; Sciuridae. The record is from RNAcentral.
GUGGUACAUGGUCUGUAGUCCCAGCGGCUUGGGAGGCAGAGGUGGGAGGAUCUCAAAACGCAAAAGUCAGCUUCUGUAAUUUAGUGAGGCCCUAAGCAACUUAGCAAGACCAUGUCUAAAAAUGAAAGGGGCUAGGGAUAUGGCUUAGUGGUUGUGCAUCCCUGGAUUUAAUUCCUGGUACCAACAAAACAAACACUAGGGAAAAUUAUAUCAUUGCCAAACAAAAUAAAUAUCAGUUUCUUACUAUAGAGUAGGUCUCUAAAGUUUUUAUAUUCUUUCUGUUAAUGUUGACAUUUUAAAUUCAGAUAGAUUGAAUAUAGUAAAGUUAUGAUUGUUUUCUUCUUUCUUAAUCCCAAGGAAAUGAUAGAAAAUAAGAAUGAAAACAUGAAAGUGCUAGAAAACAAAAGCCAGCAGUUUUGAGACAUUCCAGCAGGGUAUCAAGUGGAAGAGAUUGGGCUGAGAAGUUAAGAGAAAAACCAUAGCCAAGAUAUCCUGCAGAAGCUUUGAGGCUUAUAAUGGGGGAAGGAAUUUGCCAUAGUUUAAUCAUGUUAAUUCAUAGAAGAAUUGCACUGGGAACCCCUGCUCUUUUCUCUUCCCAGGUAAAUAGUUGACAGAAGUAACUUUUCUUCAGGCUGAGGACUAAGAACCACUCUUGAAGAAAAGGAUUGUUCCUGGAGAGCUCCUAGGGAAGGUAUGGGGUUGUGAUAGGAAGGCUGAGUGAGUGGGUGGAGAAGUGAAAAAAGCAGCACUUCAGUUCCAUAGUAAGGCCUUUUUACUUUGCCCUUUGUAGAGAACAAUAACUUCUGAUUUGUCAACCACAUACUUCCCCAGAACCCUAACUCCUGAUCUGAAGCAGACACACCGAGGAAACUUUGUCAGCCACUGGCAACUUCAUGAAGUUUCCUAAAUACGGAUUUCCAAGCACUAUCAGACAUUAACGAAAACUAACAGCUGGGAAGAGAAGCCCCAACAACAAACCCUGACAUAAAGAAAUAUAAUUCAGGGACUAGAAUAUCUUAAAAAAAUUCAGUAGUAUCAGAUUUUUGAUAAGUCAGGCACAAGUUCUUGUCUAACUUGCUUAUUCCAGGGGUUCCUUCCAUAUAAUGAUGGCAUCAGGCAAAAUAGAUGAAGCAGUGUUAAUCCGUAUGCAGUUUACAUGACAACAAAAGUCAGCAGGGGUGGGGGGUGGGGGAAUGUGCAGUUCAUUUGUUUAUUAUGCAGGUUUACCUUGUCCUACAAAAUUCAGAUUCUUCCUUGUAACUUUGCUACUCAAAUGUUCUCCCCAGGUGGAACUACCUAGAUAAUUUGUUAGCACAGUUCCAUUUAUUGGUAUAAUACAAUAAUUUUUCAUCAUAAAAGGUGAUAUAAUACAUCAUAAAAGGUGAGGGGGUACUUACAUUCUUGUAGAAGGAGACACCAUGAUAAGCCAAUCCCAAAAAACCAAAGAGCAAAUGUUUUCACUGAUAGUGGAAGUUAAACCACAAUAAAGUGGGGGAGGGGAAGAAGAGAAGUUCCAUAGAUUAGACAAAGGGAAGGGAGGGGGGAUAGAAAUAGGAAAGACAGUAGAAUAAAUCUAACAUAAUUUUCCUAUGUACUCAUGAAAAUACCUAAGUGAAUCCCACCAUUGUGUUCACCCAUAAUUACAAUAAGAUAUAUAUACUUGUAUAAUUUUAUCAAAAUUGAUUCUACUUUCAAGUAUAACUUCCGAAGAACCAAUUAAAAAAUACCAAAUAAGGUGAUAAACUGAGGAUAAAGAAAAUAGCACAGGAGAGAAAAUUUGGUAAGGCAGGAAAUUUGAGAAUGUGUUGUAAUUUUCAACAGGAUGGUCAGUGUAGGCCACACUGAGAAGGUGAAUUUGCACAGAGACUUGAAGGGAAUUAUUUACAUGUGUGAGAAGCUCUAGUAAUAGCACAGAAGCCAGUGUAGUAGCUGGAGGCUAGUGAGCAAAUGAGAGUAGCAAGAGAUGAGUUCAUGGGGCUGGGGAUGUGGCUCAAGCAGUAGCGCGCUCGCCUGGCAUACGUGCGGCCCGGGUUCGAUCCUCAGCACCACAUACAAAGAUGUUGUGUCCGCCCAAAACUAAAAAAAUAAAUAAAUAAAUAUUAAAAAUUUUCUCUCUCUCUCUCUCUCUCUCUCUCUCUUAAAAAAAAAAAAAAAGAGAGACGAGUUCAUAAACGUAAUAAGAGUUUGGAGGUGGCCCUAUAGUUCAUGUAAGAUUUUGCAGCCUUUGUAAAGGUUUGGCUUUGGAAUGUGAUGUUUUAAGUAAAUAAAUGUCUUGAUCUUUUAAACAUUUUGAAAGGAUCACUGUAGCUGCUAUGUUGAGAAUAAACCAUAGAGGGGUUAUUUCUGUGGUGGAAUAGGAAGACCAGUUAGGAUAUUUCAGUGUUUUAGACUGAGAAAUCCUUGCAGUAUGUGCACUGCACCAAGGUGUUAGUGGAAUUGAGAUGAAAUGGUAAGAUUCAGAUGAACUCUGAAAGUAGAACUUCAAAUAUUUGCUUAUGAAUUUUGAAUAUAGAUGUGAAAGACAGGAGGAAAAGGAUGAUUCUGAGUCUUAUAUUCUAAGUAACUAUGAGGACAAAGUUACCUUUAACUAAGCUGGAGAAAGCUACAGGAAGAAGACAUUAAAGAGGGAAAAUCAGAAGUUGAGUUUGGAUAUACUAAAUUUGAGAUAAAGAUGUUUUUGGAGUUUGGGGAAGAAAGCUGAUCUGGAAAUGUUCAUAUUGGAAUUGUCAAAAUACGGGUGAUAUUUAGAACUUUGAGAUUGGAUGGAAUCACUAAGGGAAUGGUUGUAGAUAUUAAAAAGAAGCAAUUGAAGAACUGAGCCCUCAGGUACCUACAAAGGCAUCUGAGAAGCAGCAGCUAGAGAGUCAUGGAGUUUUGUGACUUGGAGGAAAGUAAAUGUAUCAAGUAGUAAGAGGGGGUCAGCCUUGUAAAAUGCUGCUGCUAAUCUGGGAAGAUGCUGACGUGAACUGACCAUCGUUUUAUUUAGAAUACAGAUGUCAAAAAUGACCUUGACAAAACAAAUUCUUACCAAGUGGUGAGGGUGUGUGCCUGACUGCAGAAGGUUUAAAACAGAAUGGCAGUAAAAUUAAGUGCUCUUAAUGGAAGUUAUUUGGAUACAAUAAUUAUCGGUGGAGGCAUUUCUGGACAAAAUUUUCAACACAGGCAUUUUAGUAGAGUUUUAGUUAUGAUUCCUUCAGUGAGCAACAACUUGUUCUUCAGAAUGGUUUGCUACAGAAUUUUAAUAAGUAUUCUGUGAAAAAACAAUCAUGUUCAAAUAAGUUUGUGAAAUCUGUAUUAAUAUUUAAACCUUGUUGUAUAUAUUAUAUUUCUUUAUAGGUGGAUACUGUGGUCUGAAUAAUUAUGUCCCUCCAAAGUUCAUGUGUUGAAUCUUUACUUGCCAGGCAUGGUAUUAGGAGUUGGGGCCUGUGGGACGUGAUUAGGUCAUAGGGGCAGAGCCCUCCUGAGUAGGAUUAGUGCCCUUGUAAAAGAGCCAGAGAGACCACUGGUCCUUUCUGCCAUGGGAGGUUACAGUAUGAGGACAGCUGUUUCUGAACCAGGAAGAAAGCUCUCACCAGACAGCAAAUCUGCAGGUACCUUCAUCUUAGACCUCCUAGCCUUCAGAUUGAGAAAUAAAUUUGUUUUUUAUAAGCCACCGACUAAACAGUAUUUUGUUAUAACAGUUAGAACAGACGAAGACAAUGUGCUUCUUAGAGCUUUCAGUCUUUAUCUUGAAUCUUUGGUAGAAAAUACCCAGUGUUAUUUGCCAUACUUAGCAGGCCAUGGAACCAUUUUUACCAAAUACCUUUAACCAUAUCCAAGUGUGCUACAAUAAAAGCUUGGUGAAUACUAGAUUAAACAUUGAAAUUAUAACAAAUAUUUUGAACACACACAUAAACACAUACCAAAUAAUACUUAAUGUAUAGGAUCAUGGCAUAUAUUAGGCUGAUACUUGUGCUCCCAUUAGCUAUGGAUUAGCUCUGAUUGAAAAAGGUUAUCCCAUCAGAGCCCAUUAUGGUUUUUCUUUAGACUGCAUUUUAUCAACGUGCCUUUCUUUUGAUUACUGUUCUAACUACUUGAAUAAUGUUCAUAGUAUUUUUUCUUCAGGAUUAUUUUUUCAUCAAUAAUGACAUCAAGCAAAUUAUGUGAUUAUAAUUUAAAUACGAAUUCCUUUAUGUUCCCAAGUAAAUAGAAAUCAUGAUUACUAAAUUGUAUUUUAAAAAUAAGAUAGUAAUUCUUUUACUAAUUGGACCAGUAUUAGCAUUUUAUGGUGUCAAACAGGUUCUGAGAGUUGAAUAGUAAACUGAGGUAUUUCUCUUCAGUGAUAAAAUAAACAGUCAUUCACACACAUACAUUAUAUACAUAUGUAUGCAUUUUUUUGUGUGAAAUAUCCUUUGUGACUGCAAAAUAAUGGUAUUAAUAUAAAUUGGUCAAAAUAUUAACAUAUGUAAUCAGUCUUUCUGGAAUUAUUCAAUUUUUUACUUUGUAUAUAUGAAGUAAAAAUUAUUGGUCUUAUGUCAUUCCUGAUGUAAAUUUGUAUAACAAAGUUUCUCUUAAAUGCUGGUGAGGUGCUAUCUGCUGUAGAAGAAAACAAAGGAUUCUUUUCUCUUCCAACCCCCAACCACAUAAAAAAAUAAAUCAAACUGUGACUAUUAGGUUAAAAUCAAAAGGAUGAAAAGGGAGAGAGGGUGAGAUGGGAGGAGAAGAACAGAAGGCACCAAGUCUAGAUAAGCAAUGUAUUAAGUUUUGGGGCCUGGAGACAGGAGCAGGGGAGUUGCAGAGUAACAUGUAGUAUUUGGUGGGGGAAUGUGGUCAACAGAAGUUUCUCUACAAAGUUUUAAUUAAACAGAUUUAUUAAAAGUAAUAUCAGGUUCUAAGAUGAAUGAGCAAUAACUUUGAAGUUCUGAAAAGGUUUUUUUUUUUCUUUUCUGGUACUAGAGAUGGAACUCAGGUGCACUCCACCACUGAGCCACAACCCCAACCCUUUUUUGUAUUUCAUUUAGAGACAGGGUCUCAUUGAGUUGCUCAGCACCUAUGCUGAGGCUGGCUUUGAACUGGCGAUUCUCCUGCCUCAGCCUCCUGAGCCAAUGGGAUUACAGGCAUAUGCCACUAUACCUGGCAGGGAAAUAGUUUUAAGCCUAGAAACAAAAAGAUCAAUUAUUAAUCAAGGAUGAGACCAAAAAACAAACAAACAAACAAACAACAAUAACAACAAAAAACCAUCUGGUACAACCUGGGAAAUGAGACAGAGAACUGAAUUUGUAUUCUCACAUAGGCAUUAAGAAAGCUAAAAACAAAUUGAGAGCAAACAUUAUAAUUUGUCAUUUGGAAAUUUCUUGAAAAAGUUUUCUUUCAUAGAUUUAAUUAUUUAAUUUAUAGUGAAUUUGUUUAUUAUAUUACAGAUGUUUUCUAAUAUAUAUACAAAGCAUAAAAGAUUCAAUUACAUUUAUAGGUAAUUAUGUAAACUGUGCCUAACAUAUGGGAAGGAAAUGAGAAGAAAAGGUCAGGUUAUUAAUUCUACCAUUUCUCAUGGUAGGUAAUCAUCUGUCUAAAGUUAUAAACCAAUACUAGUGAUUUAAGGGUAUUUGAAAUUUUAAUGACAACCAUCAGAAAAGCUCUGACAACAGAUACCAGUAAUACAACUUUUAAGGAGUGGGACUGGAAGGCUGGGGAAGACUUCUUUUGCUUUUUACUUCAAUUUGUAAUGUUUGAAUUUUUGUUUGUGAAUGCAUUUUGUUUAUACUAGUAUAGAGGCUUGCAGGUUCAGGUAACAGAAAAUUGUAAAUUAAAUUUCCUGAAGCAAUAAAAGGCUUAUUCUCUAU